AUCCUAUCCUUCUCAUUAUUGAAUAUUCUAGACCCAAGCGAGAGUCAGAGAGCUAAAACCCAUCGCCCUUCUCUCCCUUCGCCCUUCCACCUCCGUCUACUCCCUUAGUUGUCGGUGAUCAUGGUGCAUUCGUUGUUGCCGUCGAAGGUCAGAUUCGCGUGUCACCGACGUGUGCGUGUGGAAUCGGUCUUCCGUCAUCGCAGGUCUCCGUUCAGUGAGGCGGACUUCCUCCUCUGUUUUCGUCAUUUGGUUCUUCUUCUUUCCUGCUCUGUGACGCUGUGUCGAUCAGCUCGGGGGUGGAGAAAAUGAUUAUAGUUUUCCAAUUUGAAAGUGAAGCUUGGGGAGUUUAUUUUAGUUGACCUACUUCGAGUUGACUAUUGAGGGGCUAUCUUUUGACGUGAAGUGAAGAAGUUAUUGACCAGCUUGGAUGUAAAAUUUAAAAUUUUGAAUUUAUGUUUUGUAUAUUUUAUUUAGACGCUCCACAUAAAUUAUAGUUAGGACAUUCAUAUAUAUAUAUAUAUAUAUAUAUUAUACAUGAUUUGUCAAUUAGAAGGAGCAUAGCUCUUUGUUGAUGCUAUUUUAUACUGAGGAAUGUCGUCAUAGAAUUUUCAGGAAGUCUUAUUUUAUGGGGAGAUUCUAUCAAAAAUUGUUUUUACAAAAGCAUUAAGUCUUCUGUUCUUAUUAUUCAUAUUGGACAUGGUUCGAUUUAUUUUCAAAUGUCUUAGUGGUUUAGAAAUUAGAGUUCGUUAUGUUAAGGCUUUCGAGAUAUAGGUUUUGUUUUCAUAUUUCGUACUGGUCAUUCCUUAUUUUCAAGGAGUGACACAUGCUUAGGAAGAUAUUGUCUCAGCAAACCUAAAAGACACCUACUCUAACGAAGUUGCUUGCUUCUCUGCAAUGCUUAUUUUCUGCUGGA
Long non-coding RNA from Prosopis cineraria, 913 nucleotides. RefSeq lists it as uncharacterized. The transcript has 4 exons. The record is from RefSeq and is a predicted model, not a curated record. NCBI's taxonomy places the organism in Eukaryota, Viridiplantae, Streptophyta, Magnoliopsida, Fabales, Fabaceae.